RNAcentral lists this ribosomal RNA (207 nucleotides) under Triticum aestivum (bread wheat). Its description in RNAcentral is "partial small subunit ribosomal RNA". Lineage: Eukaryota; Viridiplantae; Streptophyta; Magnoliopsida; Poales; Poaceae. The record is from RNAcentral.
AUGCAAGACUACUUCAUGGACAAUCCAACCUAUCCGUCGCAUCUCUUCCGCAGAAGGUAUCGAAUGUGCCGAACUCUUGUAAAAAUUGGGCAAGCUUGUGAGGCCAAUUGCCGAUUUUUCACUCAAAGGAGAAACGUCGCGGGCUUGUUGGGCUUUAGCGCCUACCAAAAAAUCUCCGCAGCUAUGCGUGUGAUUGCAUAUCGAUGA